UACGAAGGGGGCUAGCGUUGUUCGGAAUUACUGGGCGUAAAGGGCGCGUAGGCGGCUCGACAAGUCAGAAGUGAAAUCCCUGGGCUCAACCCAGGAAUUGCUUUUGAGACUGCUGAGCUUGAGUACAGGAGAGGUGAGUGGAAUUCCCGGUGUAGAGGUAAAAUUCGUAGAUAUCGGGAGGAACACCAGUGGCGAAGGCGGCUCACUGGCCUGUAACUGACGCUGAGGCGCGAAAGCGUGGGGAGCAAACAGG
This 253-nucleotide ribosomal RNA is filed under the name uncultured bacterium. RNAcentral describes it as "partial 16S ribosomal RNA". It matches the Rfam family "Bacterial small subunit ribosomal RNA", at positions 524 to 776 of the family's 1533-position model. The record is from RNAcentral.